GGUCUUUGAACAGUGGUCUUGUCAUUUUCAGUGUCAUGGACACUAUCAUGCUACAAUGUGCCACAAACAAACUGAUUUCUUUGUCUCCCAAUAGCUAGAUUUAUUUGUGACAAUUAGUAGGCUAAUCUAACUAAGCACCCUGAAAGCAAUGAAUAUUGCGUGGAAUAAUAUAUUAGAUUGAUUGAGAGACCUAUGUACAUAUAUAUAGGGAAGAGAAGAUCCGGUGGUUUAUAGAAAUAAGACCAACCGAGAUCUUCUCAUAUCUCUCUAAUCAAGCAGGGCUGGCCGGCUACCAUACCAGGCACAUGCCUACCAUAUACACACGCACAGCACAUAUAUAUAUACAAUCUAACACACCCCCGCAGUCACAGCGUCGAGUCGUCGGACGUUGAGACUGGACCGAAACUCCGUGAAGACAGAAGUGGGCAAGCCUUUGGUGAAAAUGUCAGCGAACUGUGACGUCGUCGGGACGUGGAGAACGCAAACUGCUCCAAGGGCCACUCGUUCUCGAACGAAGUGAAGAUCAAUCUCAAUGUGUUUGGUACGCUGAUGCUGAACGGGGUUAGCAGACAUGUAUACAGUGCUGAUGUUAUCACAGUAAACCAAGGUGGCUUGACCCAAAGGUGUGUGAAGUUCUGCAAGCAGCUGAUGCAGCCAGGAUGCCUCAGCCACAGCAUUGGCGACAGCGCGAUACUCCGCCUCGGCACUGGAACGGGAGACAGUAUUCUGACGCUUGGAAGACCAGGAAACCAAAUUGUCACCAAGAAAAACUGCGUAGCCUGAGGUAGACUUGCGAGUGUCAGGACAUCCGGCCCAAUCCGCAUCAGAGUAGACCACCAGCUCAGUCUGACUAGAAGCACGCAAAUGAAGACCCAAGUCAAGAGUGCCACGAACAUAACGAAGGAUCCGCUUGAGGGCUGCAAGAUGAGGCUCGCGCGGAUCAUGCAUGUGAAGACACACCUGCUGAACUGCAUAUGCGAUAUCAGGUCGAGUGAAGGUGAGAUACUGUAAAGCCCCAGCUAGACUGCGAAAAUCCAUAGGAUCUGAAAUAGGGUCACCAUCAGCAGACAACUUCGGAUUGAGAUCUACUAGAGUGGAACAGGGCUUAGAAGCAGCCAUCCCAGCGCGGUCCAAAAUGUCCAGCAAGUACUGGUGUUGGGACAGGAACAGCCCGGAGGGAGUACGCUGAACUUGCAUCCCCAAGAAAUGAUGAAGCUCACCCAGAUCUUUCAUAGAGAACUCUUGCUGAAGGGCUGCAAUGAUCCGACGAAGCAAUUCUAUGGAGGAGGCCGUCAACACAAUGUCAUCCACAUACAGCAAGAGAUAGGCAGUAUCUUGACCACGGUGAAACACGAACAGCGACGUGUUCGUCCUGGCUUCCACAAAACCCAGAUGAAGAAGAAAAUUUGCAAGGCGACUGUACCAAGCACGCGGCGCCUGUUUCAGCCCAUAGAGGCACCGAUUUAGGAGGCACACAAAAUCUGGGUGAGAUGAAUCCUCAAAUCCCGAAGGCUGGACAUAGUAAACUGUCUCAGACAAGUUCCCAUGAAGAAAAGCAUUCUUCACAUCAAGCUGAUGCACUGGCCAAUGGCGAGAGACCGCAAGAGACAGAACUGUUCGGACAGUAGCAGGCUUCACAACGGGACUGAAAGUCUCAUCAUAGUCGAUGCCGGGACGUUGAGUGAAUCCUCAAAGAACCCAACGUGCUUUGUAGCGCUCAAGAGAACCAUCAGCCUUGAACUUGUGUUUGAACACCCAUUUGCCUGUAACCACGUUGGAUCGAGGUGGACGGUGAACGAGAUCCCAAGUGUGGUUGGCAAGAAGUGCAGAGAACUCCUGCAUAGCCGCGCGCCAAUUGGGAUCGGCAAGUGCGACGCGGUAGGUCCUCGGGAUGGGUGACAAGGAGGCAACCUGGAGAGUGACCGUCUGAGCGACCGGCUGUCGAAAGCCGGCCUUGCCCCUCGUUCGCAUGGCAUGCUGAUUUGCCACAGGAACGAUGGGAACAGCCCCAGCAGGAAGACGUUCCGGAGCUGUGGAGGCCGGUGGUACCGGGGAGACUAUCUGAGGAGUUGGUGGUGAAGCCGGUGGACGCGGGCGACGGCUGUAUGUCAGGCGGACAGGUGGUAUGGGCGCCAGUACAGCCAAAUCAGUCGGGGAAGUCGAGGUCGCCUUGGUUGAAGGGUGCUGCGGGCACCGGUGAUACACAAAACCGCCCCAGCGCUGAAAGCUGAGCGGUGGAGCAGCAGGCGCAAGGCAGGCUGCUGGUGAUGUCCGGCUGGUUGCCGGGCUGGGUGGAGCAGCAGACGCAUGGCCGGCUGCUGGUGGUGGCCGGCUGAUUGCCGGGCUGGGCAGUGAGGCAGCAGGUGCGUCGGCUGCUUGUGUUGACCGGCUGGCUGCUGGAGACCGGCUGCACACCACUGGAGCCGCGGUGGCUGCUGAGACAGCCUGGCUGGCUGCUGGGAGGUGCAGACUGGUCGGCACAUCAGAUUCCAGGGAGGUGGCAGCGACCCUAGGGGUGCCACCUCCUGGAGCAGCCGCAGGACCUGGAGUACCUGUAGGGGCAAAAAAAGAUGGCACUGGUGGAGCCACCAUAGGGUCAGUAGAUAAGAAAUCAAAGUCCUGAGGCGCGGGAUGUCCAGGAACCUUAGAAAACGGGAAGGAAGUCUUGUAACACCCGGCCCAGGGCUUAAUAGGAUUAAUAGGAGACUCAUACCAACAAGUUGCAACUUCUUUUCCGGAAGCCCAUCUCCAAAGAACUCUAAAGUUCAGCGUGCUUGGCCUGGAGAAAUUUAGGGAUGGGUGACCGACCGGGAAGUACUUCCCGGGUGCACACGAGUGAGGACAAAGUAUGCAGAAAAGACUAGUAUUGGUUUGUCGGGACUGACUAUGUCCUAGAAAAGCUGCCAGAUGUAAACGGGCCCAGCCUCAUGGAGGCGGGACGUUACAAGUCUCAUCAAAGACAACAUGCAGUGGGAUAAUGACCCCGUUGGAGGACCGGUCAAGACAACAGUAGCCUUUGUGAUGAGGAGAAUAACCGAGGAACACACACAAGGAUGAGCGAGGAGCAAGUUUGUGUGGUGCAGUGGCAGAUAAAUUGGGAUAGCAACGACAACCAAAGACACGAAGAUGCUCAUAAGUUGGCGGGGAGCCAAACAGAGCCUGAUGCGGAGUGUUGAAGUGAAGUGUCUUGGUAGGAAGAAUGUUGAGGACCAUGGUAGCAGUGGAGAGUGCCUCAACCCAAUAUGCAGGUGGGACACCGGCCUGAAACAGUAAAGAGCGAACAACGUUAUUAAUGGUUCGGAUAACACGUUCGGCUUUACCGUUCUGAGGUGAAGUGUAUGGGCAGGACAUGCGCAACUGAACACCAUGGGAGAGGAAGAAAGCACGGGUGCUGAGGUUGUCGAAUUCUCGGCCAUUGUCGCACUGUAUGCCCUGGAUAGGGACGCUGAACUGUGUAGCGACAUAGGCAAAGAAGUGAGACAAAGUGAGAAAAGUGUCAGAUUUGAGUCGGUGAGGAAACGUCCACAAGUAAUGUGUGAAAUCAAGUAUAACCAGGUAAUAUUUGUGACCAGCAAUACUAGUGAUGGGAUACAUGACUAGUGCGAGAUGAAGACACAGGAAAAGGUAGACGUGUAUGACGACCUAACUGACAAGCAUGACAUAAGGUUUGUUCAUCAUGUUUAUUACAAGGGAUAGCAGAUGUCUGCGCUAGCCUAGACAAAACUUCAUGACCCGGAUGACCAAGACGCUGGUGCCAAAGUGAGGAGCUGGUGGCAAGAAGAGUAGACGCAGAGGGCGAAAACAAACUCCAAUGGGUAGAGAGGACCGGAGCUGUCACACCUGACGAUCUCUCUUCGAGAACGAAGAUCCUUCACAGAACAGCCAAGGGAGUCAAACUCCACAGAACAAUUAUUAUCAGAGGUAAAUUGACGAACUGAAAUAAGGUUCUUAAUAAGGCUAGGUGAAACAAGCACAUUAUUAAGAUGAAGAUGAUGCGGAAGAUUGGUAGUGCCAGUUGAAGUAAGUAACGGGAAGAAGGUUCCCAUUACCGACGACAAUAUUUGAAGGUGAAGAGUGAGAAGCUAAGUGAACGGUGAGGUUACCAGCGUCGGAGGUCAUGUGAUUGGUAGCGCCCGAGUCGAAGUACCAGUUGGCCUGGGAAGGCUGCUGGAGUGACAGAGUCUGGAAAUUGGAGGCGAGGCUCGAAGUAUCCCAGCCGGGUGGAGGAAACGCAGGACUGUACAAGCCCGGUGGAGGAAGUGCCCACUGCUGAACCUGCUGCGCAGGCCAUCCCUGCUGUGUACCUGUCAGUAGCGCCUGAGGAAGUUGCUGCUGCUAUUGGACACCGGCGAGAAGGGCGUGCGGAUGAGGGAGCGUUGCUGGUCGCGGGCCGGGCCACAUGUUGAUGGACCCAGUCCACGGCUGAUGCAAAUUCGGCAUCCAUGGUUGGCCGGAUGGAGGACCUCCAGAUGUGGCAUUAGGCAUGCCUGUAGCAGGGGCACCGCGGCCACCACCCCUCUUGCCACGCAUGCCACGUUUGCCCUCGCUGCCCCCGGGGUGAGCAGGAGGCAGGGACGGUGGACGCUGCUGGGCAGUAGGUGUCGCUGGCGAUGAGUGGACAUUGCUGGCGAGAAGGGCAGUAGCCGAAGGAGCCGUAGCUCGAGCCGAAGGCGAAACGGUCAGAGCCAUGGUGAGUUCUUCAAGGAGCAGGUCGUUGCAGGCCUGAAGCAACGAGGGGAAGGGGCACCCGCGACGAAGAUGGAGACUGAUAGCUUCGAAGCGGCCGUUGAGGCCGCGCAGAAGGUUGAGGACGAGGUUCCGAUCGGUGAUCGGCUCUCCAAGGUUGCGAAGAGCAUCUGCCAUGCCCUUGAGCUUGCGGCAGUAUGUGGUGAUGUCGAGGUCGCCUUGGUUGAAGGUGCGGAAGGCGGCCUCGAGCUGCAGAGCCCGUGUUUCACGAUUGCCACAGAACUACGACUCAAUGGCAAGCCAAUGAGUGCGAGCGGUGGAGCCAGGUUCGACGACCGUUUCAGCGAGGGAGUCGGAGAUGGUGCCGGUGAGCCAGGUCUUCUCAACACAAUCCAUGCGAACCCAAUCAGGAGAGUCAGGUGCAGCCACAUCAGAGAGGAUGUGGUUCUGUAGGGAGUACCGGCCGACAACGAUGAGGAUGGAUUCGCGCCAGCGGCCGUAGAAGGAUGAGGCGACGUCGAGCACCAGCGGGACGAGGAGCCGGAUGUUCUGCACAGCCACAGCCCGGGCGUGCAGGUUGAUGAGGGCCGCGGCUUCGUGCUGAAGGAGGGCGGCGCGAAGAAGAGGAUCGCCGCCAUCGGCGGAGUUCAGAUCCUCCGCGUCCUCGGCAUCCUCGGCGUCGCUGGGGGCUCCGUCGUCCAGAGGAGAAGCGGCCGCGGCGCGCUCCUUGGCCGCGCGGUCGAGGGCGGCCUGAAGACGCGCGUUGGCCGCGUCGCGCUCCUGCUGAGCAGAGGCGGCCUCGCGCUCUGCAGCGGCCGCGCGUUCAGCAGCAGCGUCGCCGGCGGCUUGGGCAGUGCGGGCGCGUUCCGCCUUAGCGAGGCGGGCCUGUUCGGCCGCACGGUCGACGCUCCUCUUGGAGGGCAGCGGCACCGGCGGCGUCGGACACAAGCGCGCUAGACGCAGAGGCAUCGACGGGUUUGGCGUCGGGAUCCAUGGCGGCGCGAGGUCGUGCAGAGGCAGCGAGCAGGCGCAGGGGAAUAGGCGGCCAGGAAAGGAAAAACUAGGUCUUUGAUACCAUGAAAGCAAUGAAUAUUGCGUUGAAUAAUAGAUUAGAUUGAUUGAGAGACCUAUGUACAUAUAUAUAGGGAAGAGAAGAUCUGGUGGUUUAUAGAAAUAAGACCAACCGAGAUCUUCUCAUAUCUCUCUAAUCAAGCAGGGCUGGCCGGCUACCAUACCAUGCACAUGCCUACCAUAUACACACGCACAGCACAUAUAUAUAUACAAUCUAACACACCCACUAAGCCAGAUCUGACUUUAUAACAUAGACUAACCUAGGAGGCACUAGGCAGAUUUUUUUAUUAAGAAUAGAUAGGUACUUCAUAAGCGGCGUGUAUGGCAUGUCAAGUGUUACUUAUCAGCUUCUCCAAUCUUACCAUCUGUAGCGCUACCGCUGUGACUACGGGGGGAUGUUAGAGUAAAUAGGAAUAGUACCGUAUUGUGUACCCACAUAAGGUGUUAGUCCUAUGUAUCCUAUAUAAUCAGCCUGCACAGCGCGCCAGUGAUGUACCCUAUAUAAUCAGCCAUUGAGGCCCAAUGCAAUAUAUCAAAUAUUUCACCAAUU
RNAcentral lists this long non-coding RNA (6307 nucleotides) under Sorghum bicolor (sorghum). RNAcentral describes it as "long non-coding RNA (SBIC_LNC006919)". Lineage: Eukaryota; Viridiplantae; Streptophyta; Magnoliopsida; Poales; Poaceae. The record is from RNAcentral.